CCUACGGGGGGCACCAGUGGGGAAUAUUGCACAAUGGGCGCAAGCCUGACGCAGCCAUGCCGCGUGUGUGAAGAAGGCCUUCGGGUUGUAAAGCACUUUCAGCGAGGAGGAAGGCGGUGAAGUUAAUAACCUCAUCGAUUGACGUUACCCGCAGAAGAAGCACCGGCUAACUCCGUGCCAGCAGCCGCGGUAAUACGGAGGGUGCAAGCGUUAAUCGGAAUUACUGGGCGUAAAGCGCACGCAGGCGGUCUGUCAAGUCGGAUGUGAAAUCCCCGGGCUCAUCCUGGGAACUGCAUUCGAAACUGGCAGGCUAGAGUCUUGUAGAGGGGGGUAGAAUUCCAGGUGUAGCGGUGAAAUGCGUAGAGAUCUGGAGGAAUACCGGUGGCGAAGGCGGCCCCCUGGACAAAGACUGACGCUCAGGUGCGAAAGCGUGGGGAGCAAACAGGAUUAGAUACCCGAGUAGUC
Molecule: ribosomal RNA, 465 nt
Filed under: uncultured bacterium
Lineage: Bacteria
Description: bacterial SSU rRNA
Rfam family: Bacterial small subunit ribosomal RNA
Source: RNAcentral